Molecule: long non-coding RNA, 6634 nt
Organism: Salmo salar (Atlantic salmon)
Lineage: Eukaryota; Metazoa; Chordata; Actinopteri; Salmoniformes; Salmonidae
Source: RefSeq, a predicted model, not a curated record
ACUAUUAUGGAGAUGGGGAGGAGUGUACAGCAGUGGCAGCAAUAACAACCCAUGGAAGUAUCAUCAACACACCACUGAAAAGAAAUGGACACAAUCGGGUACUCGUUAAAAAAUGAUUAUUAGUACGCAUUUUCUGGCAAUUUAGAUUAGAAUAACUUCAUUUUUCUCAUGGGGGAACGUCUUAAAUCAAACCAUUCAAACAACACAAACACCAAAAGACAGAGCUGAACAUUUGGAGAAGCCAUGGAGAAGACAACAAUGUAGUGAGCAACAUCUGCCCUCAGCUCCUCUGAGAAGCGAUGCAUUAGCUGGAAUGGUCUAGCUGCUGGUGGCUCAUCUGGAGAUGGUGGGGAGCUGGGAUUGGUGCGCUGGCUUUAGGGAAAUCAGCCACUGUUCUCUCUCUGCGUCCCAAGCUUUGGCCAUUAACUCACUGCCAGCAGCUCAGCUCUGGGAUGAGGAACAACAGAUGCCAGCCACUGAAAAGCCUCCAGCGCUCCAGCUAACCAAUCCCAACUGAGUCGGGACGAGCCUCUGUAGAUUUUUGGACAUCCAGCGAACAAAUGUGGACAUGAAAGGGGGAAGAGGAGGGCUGUUCUGGAGGUAAAGAUGUGUUAACCCUCUUGAACUUGACAGGAGACGAGGCUGGAGCUCAGAUUAGCCCCUCAAAGCCCAGCUUUCACAAAAGUGGUCCAGAGUGGCAAGGAGACACCAGAUUAGGGAUGAGCCAAUCCCUGCUAUCCUCAACUGCCACAUCUUCCUGCUAGGCUACCCAAACAAGCACAAGGAGAAGAGGAGAAGUAAGGGAGUUGGGUCAAAUGGUAGCUGGGUGAACAAGCCGUGGAUCGAGUGACUGGGGUCCUUGAGGAUCUUCUUGGCCUUCCUGUGACACCGGCUGCUGUAGAUGUCCUGGAGGGCAGGCAGUGUGCCCCUGGUGAUGCGUUGGGUCUUUCUUCAGCCUCCUGUUGCGCCUUCUUCAGCACACUGUCUGUGUGGACCAUUUCAGGUCUAAUGUAUGCCUAACAGGAGCAGGUAAAUAACAUAUUUUCAGCCAUGCUGUUCCUCUCACUGUGGGCCAAUGGCUGAUCACUUCAGCAGACAAUUUAAGGUCGACUUAAUGUAGCCUACACGGCCUCUCGGGGAAUUUCAUGCUCUUAUGGAAAGCCGUUUGAAAUCCCUGAGCAGCCUAGUCUUAAUCUCAUUUGUGAAUGUGAGAGAAGCCCCGACAGGACCAGGGACUAGCAGGAACAUCCUCCUCCUAAAGCACCGUUUCAUUUGUCAGGAGACUUUGCCGGUUGACACUGGAGGAGUGACGUAAUUGAUUUUAAUCACACACCUGAGAUGAGGAGAAUGAGGGGGCUGGCCCUUAAUGAUUAUUCAAAGACCCGUCAAAGAUCAUGUCUCUCUUUUUAAGGUCUCUGUUUUCAUGUAUUGCUGUCUUGAAGGAUGAUAUUUGCAUUAUUCAUUUUGAAACAUGUUCCAUUGUUAUUUCAUUACUGGAAUCAAACUGUGUCACACAAGAAAAACAAGUAUUAUGAAUUAUCCUCCUAAUACUGAUAAGCAAAAUAUAGAUUUUCCCUUUUCAAAUGGUGCUUCAGGGCUCUUGACAAAGAGGACUUUUCUCCAGUUGACUGUCUACUCAAUGUUAAGCUGACACACACUGUGAAAAUGUUCCAAAGGCGAUGCUCGACUUUGUACUGCUUAAAGACAUACUUUUCCCUCUUGACUCUUCAGGAAGUCUGAGUAUUCUCCCUCCCCUCAGAGUACCACGGUAAUUUGUUAUGAAAAUCUAGACCAAAAGCAAGGGAAAGCAGGACCACGUUGUUGCAAGCCAUUAGCUAGGAAACUGUUUGGUGAACAUUAUAAUGCAAAACUCCAGAAAAAGAGAGAAAAACUGCCUGGGGAGAGAGAUUUAAAUAUGUAAUAAACUAAUAUUUCAUUUAUUUGGCUCACAUGGGAACCUGACCAUUUAGCAUCAGCAUUUGCAGAUCAGAACUACACCGUAAUGAGUAAUACUAGAAAAUGCAAUACAAUUUUAAAAAUAUUCAAUUUAUUAUGGGCAACUAAUAAUGUUAAAAAAAUAAAAUCUGAAUGUGAGAUUUGGAACAAUGAUACCUAUAUACUGUAAUUAAGUAUGUACAUCAUUACAAAGACAUUAUUAAGUAGCAUAUCUAUUGUUUUUUAUUACUCUGUUUUCAAGAGUUUGUAGUUGUCCUCAAACCUUCAUUCAAGACAGUUGUCUAUCCUUCAGUUUGCAUUGUUAAAAUAACUUGUGAAAGUAUGUAUUUCAUUUGUUGAUUUUCCCCAUUGUUAUUGCUUUACGUAGAAUACAAUGGCAUUAAUUCUUGAUGAGGCUGCUGUCACUUUUAAUUUCUGUUAGUCCUGGGAAGAUGAUAGACAGCCAGCCUUGUAAUAAAUAUAACAUGCCCUGCAUACAUUUUUUACCGAAAAAAAAAAGGAAACGUCCCUUUACUAAUUCCUUUUCAUAUGUUUACAUGUAUAGCUUUCUCAAUGGGCAUAUCUAUUUCAAACUUUGGGCCACAACAGAAAUAUAUUUCCAUCUCAUUAAUGAGCAAAUUAGGGAAAGGUCUUUCAAGAAAAAAAUAAGAAUUGCACAACCAUAAUCUCCAUACUAAAGGACCAGUCUUUGAUGAAUCGCUCGGGGUGUGUGUGUGUGUGUGUGUGUGUGUGUGUGUGUGUGUGUGUGUGUGUGUGUGUGUGUGUGUGUGUGUGUGUGUGUGUGUGUGUGUGUGUGUGUGUGUGUGUGUGUGUGUGUGUGUGUGUACGUGUAUGUUUCGUUCACUUCGCCCAUUCCCUAUACAGUAUACAAUAAUUACUGAUGACUCUCAGGACUGAAGUCUGAAAUCCUUCCACCCAUAUGAUCAAAUGUCAGGUUCACAUGAUAGACACAGCGCUUGCAUUGCCUAACCAUCUAAUACCAUUAUAGUAGUUUGACUCAUGUUAAAGGUUAAGCAAUCUAAUGCCUUUUUAGGUCUUUUAGAUUGAUGACAGGUUUUAGAUUGACUGCAGGUCUCAUACUUUAUGUUGUUAGCGUUAUGUCGUUGUAUACUGGAUUAAAGAGGAAUCAUAUCAAAAGAUAUUAAAAGACAGUUGAGUAACACCUUGACAACUCUUUUACCAACAAUUUAUGUGGUGUAUCAGGAGAUGAUCCUUGGUACAUCAGAUUUAAUUGUUGAAUUGGUCCCUAUAUAUGAUGAAAAAAAUACAUGUUUGGAUAUGCUCAAAAGAAAUCCUUUCUCAAAGGAAGCGCAUCCUCAAAGAAGUCUGGGGAAUCUGGAAUUCUUUUUAAUGUCUGGAUAUCCAGAGAAGCUAUGAGCUACAUGUCCUUAUAGCCACCUCACCAUGCUAACAAAUGACCUGGAUCAGCGUUAGCCAUUGACUAAUGCUAGCAUUAUAGAGGCAUAAUUAUUGGACUAUAUUGGGCUAUACUGUAGAUUGUAUUAGCAGGUCUCGGUUAACAGUUUUGUGCACUGGUGAAGGCUCAACAUGUUACUCUAACCAGUUCGGCAACAUACUGUAACUGGGUGGGUCACUCGAGUCAAGUCUAUAAAAUCUGAAUGGUUUAUUUUAGUAUGAUGAUCUGUGGAUUAGCGGAUCCAGAUUUCCACUAGUGCCCAUGGAGUCAGAUUGUGAUACUUACAGUAUAUCCUGGGAUCAUUAAGGAAUUAAUAAGACAGACAGAGACGUUAGCUGCUGCAGUAACAUGACAGUAGGCAUCAUUUAAUGAUGUAAUGAGUGUGACAAAAACUAGAACAAGCCGAUCCCCUCUUACAGCAAAUGUCAUUCAUAUUUUAGCCAAAUUGCAUUAUUACUGUAUGUCUGCUUCCCGGCUUCAAAAUUAAAUCCCAAGAUUUACGCUCAUCUUUAAAGACAAAAAUCAUUAGAAUUCUAACGACGUCAGACAUUGUCAGGAGAGAGAGAGGAAGGGGAAAGAAUCUAGAGAUAUUUCUUUUUCUUGUGGGCUUUUUUUAAUGAGCUGAAAUCCCCAUGUCUUGCCAUUUCCUCUGCCUUAAUUGAUGAUUAUCACGUUACACUGUAGAAGCGCUUCACUCUCUCCUCCCAGUCAUUAUGCUAUAGACAGGGAGCUCUUGAAGCUUCAAAGGCAGGAUACAGUGUUUUAAGAUGAAUUCAGCCAUCCUUUGGCCCACAGGUAAACCCCCUGUAAACAGUGCAUGCUAACCGCUAAUUAGCCCUCAGGCCGAAUCAGGCUAGCUCUGUAUGAGCUGACCGCUGUGAUGGUCCUGCUUAGGGCAAUAUUGUAUCUCUACUAACGGCCCUAUUAGACAUUCAACUGUAGACCCAUAAGGCAACCCCCUCAUGAAUAUUUUAAAAAGACUGACACCGAAAAGCACGAAAGGGGCCAUGAACUGCAUGUCAUGGAAGGAAUAUAAUGCAAGUAACAACCAAUCAAUAAUCUCUUGAUCUUCUCUGUUUUAGCAUGACGCAUGAAUAUUUUCUCACCUCUGUAAUGCAGGGAGACUGAGGUUGGGGCAAUGGUGGGGCUAAAGUAAUAAGAAGUGGCAUAGUCUUACUCCGGUGAAUUUACAAAUGAUGUCCCAGGUGGGAAUGAUAGUGUAACUGACUCAUACAAGGACUCAGACUAUAAGGUUCAGUUCAGUCUGAAGGACUGGCAGGUCUAUGCUACUGCUAGAGAGUAAUUAGGCUACUGUCCUUCACAAUCUCACGCUACAGUACAGUCGAUCAGACUGAAGGACUGUUUGUGUUCUCACUUCACUAUAGUGCUGUGUGGAUCUCAUCCACUCAGGUCAGGAAGAGAUUAAUAUAUUUCUGUACCUCAUCUGUUUCAACAAAUAAAAUAGGCUUAAUGUGCAGACAAGCCGCAAAAGACGCCAAUAACGGGAUACCAGCUUACAUACUAAACUUAGAUUUUAACACCGCAUUAGUUACAUUAAUUAAUUUAUUCAAGUAACAUAUAGCAUAUGUUUUCAAUAUAGAAGAAAUCAAUUAUGAGGUGCCAUUAACAAUAUAUAAUAAAUGUGCGGCAUACAUGUGUGGUGCUAUAUGCUAAUUCAUAUUUUAUGCUUAACCCUUAUCACCUUAAAUACAUUUUUCAUAUCUAAGAAUAAUGUGAAGCAGCAUGCGAUCUCAUAUAGUUAUGCCAAUGAACAUGAGAAUGUGUGUUUUAACUUACGUGCCCUCACCUAUUCUUUACAUUCCUGUGAAAGAUCAACCUCUUGCAGUGAGCUAUAAAGCUCCCGGGAAUAAUCCAGAGGAAUUCUGACAUUUUUGUGAAAUAUUAUGCCUUAGGCCAUGUCACUAUAUCAGAGGGAGAUUAACAUAAAAAAUACUAUAUAUAUAUAUAUAUUAAGCAUGUUGUUUAGUCUUUUCCUUUUUUGAUUGUUUAUUAAACCCAUUCAUAUUUAGUAUAGCUAGUAUUAAGUCAUCAUCAUUUUAUCAAAAUGUAAUUUAGGGUAGACCUCUACAUUUGGCUUUAGGGAUUGAGGGAGAACAUUGGUUAAUUGAAUGAAAUAUUUAAACAACAAAAAAUCACAAGAAUCAGGUAAGUAGAUUUUGUUUCCAAAAAUAAAAUUAAAAUAUUUUUUCAUCUGAAAGUAUUGCUUAUUGGGCACCUUUAUGUGUUUGUAAAAUAUCCAUUUAGAUAUUUUAUUCAUAGGUUUUAGAUGUUUUUCUUUUUGUGCAAAAUGCUGUACACUGAUAGACCAAACAUUAGGAACAUCUUCCUAAUCUUGAGUAUCACCCCUUUUGCCCACCGAACAGCCUCAAUUUGUCGGGGUAUGGAAUCUACAAGGUGUCGAAAGCAUUCCACAGGAAUGCUGGUCCAUGUUGACUCUAGUGCAUCCCACAGUUGUGUCAAGUUGGCUGGAUGUCCUUUGGGUGGUAGACCAUUCAGGAAAACUGUUGAGCAUGAAAAACCCAGCAGAGUUGCAGUUCUUCACACAAACCAAGGCGCCUUUGUCUUGCCCAUUCACCCUCUAAAUGGUACACAUAUACAAUUCAUGUCUAAAUUGUCUCAAGGCUUAAAAAUCCUUCUUUAACCUGCCUCCUCCCCUUCAUCUACACUGAUUGAAGUCGAUUUAACAAGUGACAUCAAUAAGGGAUCAUAGCUUUCAUCUGAAUUUACUUGAUCAGUCUGUGUCAUGGAAAGAGCAGGUGUACUUAAUGUUUUGUAUACUCAGUGUAUAUCUAUUGUUUAGCUGGAAUGGAAUGUUCGUAUACUUUUUAUUUGUACUGUGAUCUCACCUACCUAUUUUAAGAUGAAUGCACUUACUGUACGUUGCUCUGGAUAAGAGCAUCUACUAAAUGACUAAAAUGUUAAAUGUAAUUGUAUACAGACCUCGGCUGCAGGUAGCCUCGCGGUUAGGAGUGCUGGGCUGAUAACUGAAAGGUCGCUGGUUUGAAUCUCCAAGCUUACUAGGUAAAUGUGUCAAUUUGCCGUUGAGCAAGGCAUGUAACCCUAGUCGCUCUGGAUAAGAGUGUCUGCUAAAAUGUAAAUAUCAUAUUCGUUUAUUUAAUUAUUCUUUUUUUAAUUAAAAAGAUGAAUGUCUCAAAUGUAUCAAAAUGUUCUUAUUAAGAAUGUAUUUAUUUGUUACAUUUGACUGUGUACAUCCCAGCACUAUUACUUAUUUCUCUGAGA